GAUGAACGCUGGCGGCGUGCCUAAUACAUGCAAGUCGAACGCACCACUUCGGUGGUGAGUGGCGAACGGGUGAGUAACACGUAGAUAACCUGCCCUUAAGACGAGGAUAACCGUUGGAAACGAUGGCUAAAACUGGAUAGGAAUAUUGAAGGCAUCUUUAAUAUUUUAAAAGACCUAGUAAUAGGUAUACUUAAGGAGGGGUCUGCGGCGCAUUAGUUAGUUGGUGAGGUGAUGGCUUACCAAGACGAUGAUGCGUAGCCGGACUGAGAGGUUGAACGGCCACAUUGGGACUGAGAAACGGCCCAAACUCCUACGGGAGGCAGCAGUAGGGAAUUUUCGGCAAUGGGGGAAACCCUGACCGAGCAACGCCGCGUGAAUGACGAAGUACUUCGGUAUGUAAAGUUCUUUAUCAGGGAAGAAUGACUUAUGGAAAAAUAAGUGUGACGGUACCUGAUGAAUAAGCCCCGGCUAACUAUGUG
This 479-nucleotide ribosomal RNA is filed under the name uncultured bacterium. Its description in RNAcentral is "bacterial SSU rRNA". It matches the Rfam family "Bacterial small subunit ribosomal RNA", at positions 28 to 507 of the family's 1533-position model. The record is from RNAcentral.